UACGGGGGGGGCAAGCGUUGUUCGGAAUUACUGGGCGUAAAGGGCGCGUAGGCGGCCUUCUAAGUCAGACGUGAAAUCCCCCGGCUUAACCUGGGAACUGCGUCUGAUACUGGGGGGCUUGAGUAUGGGAGAGGGAUGUAGAAUUCCAGGUGUAGCGGUGAAAUGCGUAGAUAUCUGGAGGAAUACCGGUGGCGAAGGCGGCAUCCUGGACCAUAACUGACGCUGAGGCGCGAAAGCUAGGGGAGCAAACGGG
Molecule: ribosomal RNA, 253 nt
Filed under: uncultured bacterium
Lineage: Bacteria
Description: partial 16S ribosomal RNA
Rfam family: Bacterial small subunit ribosomal RNA
Source: RNAcentral